CCUACGGGUGGCAGCAGUGAGGAAUAUUGGUCAAUGGACGAGAGUCUGAACCAGCCAAGCAGCGUGAAGGAUGACUACCCUAUGGGUUGUAAACUUCUUUUAUAUGGGAAUAAAAUGUUCCACGUGUGGGAUUUUGUAUGUACCAUAUGAAUAAGGAUCGGCUAACUCCGUUCCAGCAGCCGCGGUAAUACGGAGGCUACGAGCGUUAUCCGGAUUUAUUGGGGUUAACGGGAGCGUAGGUUGAUUGUUAAGUCAGGUGUGAACGUUUGGGGCUCAACCGUAAAAUUGCAGUUGAAACUGGCAGUCUUGAGUACAGUAGAGGAGGGCGGAAUUCGUGGUGUAGCAGUGAAAUGCGUAGAUAUCACGAAGAACUCCGAUUGCGAAGGCAGCUCACUGGACUGCAACUGACACUGAGGCUCGAAAGUGUGGGUAGCAAACAGGAUUAGAUACCCGAGUAGUC
RNAcentral lists this ribosomal RNA (460 nucleotides) under uncultured bacterium. Its description in RNAcentral is "partial 16S ribosomal RNA". It matches the Rfam family "Bacterial small subunit ribosomal RNA", at positions 338 to 795 of the family's 1533-position model. The record is from RNAcentral.